CGGAGGUAACGCGUGGGUAACCGUGCCUCAUACAGGGGGAUAACGAUGAACGAUUGCUAAUACCGCAUAAGCGCACAGUACCACAUGGUGCAGUGUGAAAAACUCCGGUGGUAUGAGAUGGACCCGCGUCUGAUUAGCUAGUUGGUGAGGUAACGGCCCACCAAGGCAACGAUCAGUAGCCGACCUGAGAGGGUGACCGGCCACAUUGGGACUGAGACACGGCCCAG
Molecule: ribosomal RNA, 227 nt
Filed under: uncultured bacterium
Lineage: Bacteria
Description: partial 16S ribosomal RNA
Rfam family: Bacterial small subunit ribosomal RNA
Source: RNAcentral